Molecule: ribosomal RNA, 465 nt
Filed under: Vreelandella stevensii
Lineage: Bacteria; Pseudomonadati; Pseudomonadota; Gammaproteobacteria; Oceanospirillales; Halomonadaceae
Description: partial 16S ribosomal RNA
Rfam family: Bacterial small subunit ribosomal RNA
Source: RNAcentral
CCUACGGGAGGCAGCAGUGGGGAAUAUUGGACAAUGGGCGAAAGCCUGAUCCAGCCAUGCCGCGUGUGUGAAGAAGGCCUUCGGGUUGUAAAGCACUUUCAGUGGGGAAGAAAGCCUUGGGGCUAAUACCCUCGAGGAAGGACAUCACCCACAGAAGAAGCACCGGCUAACUCCGUGCCAGCAGCCGCGGUAAUACGGAGGGUGCGAGCGUUAAUCGGAAUUACUGGGCGGAAAGCGCGCGUAGGCGGUCUGAUAAGCCGGUUGUGAAAGCCCUGGGCUCAACCUGGGAACGGCAUCCGGAACUGUCAGGCUAGAGUGCAGGAGAGGAAGGUAGAAUUCCCGGUGUAGCGGUGAAAUGCGUAGAGAUCGGGAGGAAUACCAGUGGCGAAGGCGGCCUUCUGGACUGACACUGACGCUGAGGUGCGAAAGCGUGGGUAGCAAACAGGAUUAGAUACCCUUGUAGUC